RNAcentral lists this ribosomal RNA (432 nucleotides) under uncultured bacterium. RNAcentral's name for it is "partial 16S ribosomal RNA". It matches the Rfam family "Bacterial small subunit ribosomal RNA", at positions 29 to 506 of the family's 1533-position model. The record is from RNAcentral.
AACGAACGCUGGCGGCAUGCCUAACACAUGCAAGUCGAACGAGACCUUCGGGUCUAGUGGCGCACGGGUGCGUAACGCGUGGGAACCUGCCCUUAGGUUCGGAAUAACUCCCCGAAAGGGGUGCUAAUACCGGAUAAUGUCUUCGGACCAAAGAUUUAUCGCCUUUGGAUGGGCCCGCGUUGGAUUAGCUAGUUGGUAGGGUAAAAGCUUACCAAGGCGACGAUCCAUAGCUGGUCUGAGAGGAUGAUCAGCCACACUGGGACUGAGACACGGCCCAGACUCCUACGGGAGGCAGCAGUGGGGAAUAUUGGACAAUGGGCGAAAGCCUGAUCCAGCAAUGCCGCGUGAGUGAUGAAGGCCUUAGGGUUGUAAAGCUCUUUUACCCGGGAUGAUAAUGACAGGACCGGGAGAAUAAGCUCCGGCGAACUCCGU